CCCCCUGGUCCCAGAUGCAGCCCCCAAUGCACUUGCGAUAUUUUCAUUAUAUGAUUGGGCCCUAUGGCUUGUAGUCCCACUGGCCCUGGCCCAGAUCCUGAGAGAACUGAGAAAACAUGACAGGGGAAGUGGGGCUAGGUAACCAUGGG
This 149-nucleotide small nucleolar RNA is filed under the name Catagonus wagneri (Chacoan peccary). Its description in RNAcentral is "small Cajal body-specific RNA 17 (ENSCWAG00000003556.1)". It matches the Rfam family "small Cajal body-specific RNA 17". Rfam says of the family: scaRNAs are a specific class of small nuclear RNAs which localise to the Cajal bodies and guide the modification of RNA polymerase II transcribed spliceosomal RNAs U1, U2, U4, U5 and U12. The complete human U12-22/U4-8 scaRNA is composed of two tandem C/D box domains (termed U12-22 and U4-8). The 3' C/D domain (U4-8) was also cloned previously by Darzacq and called U91. The record is from Rfam by way of RNAcentral. Lineage: Eukaryota; Metazoa; Chordata; Mammalia; Artiodactyla; Tayassuidae.